RNAcentral lists this transfer RNA (74 nucleotides) under Candidatus Pelagibacter sp. RNAcentral describes it as "tRNA-Cys". It matches the Rfam family "tRNA". Rfam says of the family: Transfer RNA (tRNA) molecules are approximately 80 nucleotides in length. The record is from RNAcentral. Lineage: Bacteria; Pseudomonadati; Pseudomonadota; Alphaproteobacteria; Candidatus Pelagibacterales; Candidatus Pelagibacteraceae.
GGCAAUGUGGCGGAAUGGUUACGCAGAGGAUUGCAAAUCCUUGUAUCCCGGUUCGAUUCCGGGCGUUGCCUCCA